Non-coding RNA from Nomia melanderi (Alkali bee), 908 nucleotides. Lineage: Eukaryota; Metazoa; Arthropoda; Insecta; Hymenoptera; Halictidae. The record is from RefSeq and is a predicted model, not a curated record.
CGAUAUUUCGUUGGAUGUUACACGAUCGCACGCCGGGCACCGCUCGCAUUUUAGUCCUGUUACACACGAAAAAUAAUAACGAACGCACGAACGUAACGAAAAAUUAUCGGCACCGUGCACGCGACGCCAUUUUCAUUUCUUGGUCGUCCGUCUCUGUCCCACUCUCGCGAUUCAAACGCUGUGUAGUUCCAGUGGACGUCGCGGGAACUCAGGGCAUUUCGUUAGGCGCAUCCGGCUAAUUCGUUUCAAUUUUUUGCUCCAGUUAUUUUCUUCUUUUUUUUCGGUUUUCCUUCGAUUGCGGAUGACGGAUGAUUGAUUGGUUCUGAGAUGAUUUUUCAAUUCAAUCGAACCAUUUCCGUCGAUGGAACUGCUAUUGUUGUUGCUGUAACUGUUGCAACAAUGGACACACUUCGACCAAAGGAGUUCCUAAAAUCUCCUGGCAUACUUGAUUCAUGUCGGGUUCCAUCAUAAGCGACGAAAUCUGAUCUUCCGUUAACAUCUCCACGCUACAUUCCACACAACAGGUUCAUCAAGGAGGGUGACUAUUAUUUUAAUUGGUCACAAUCAGGAAUUACACACAGAUCGACCAUAAGAUCUAGGAAAAAUAGUUGAAUUAUACGUACAUCCAAAUCAACUUCAAGCUUGUUGAUAUCAUCGGUAGCAGUAUUUAAUCUUUCAAGUUCAAUCUGGAAAGAUAAUAGUUUUUACAGACUCAGUAGUAUAGCGUUACUAUGGCAAAUCUAGGAUCAGAGAAAGGAGGAAUGAACAAAAAUAUAGAUCACUUUGCAACGUGACAAAUAGAACAUGCAGCCGUGAAAACAUAGGUAAUUUAUGGUUUUCGUGAGAGAUUCGAGAAAGGGAUAUAGCAUAAGGUAUCUAUACGACGAACGAGGUACAAUCAAAACGUU